CAAAUUUUGAAUUCUGGUAAACAAGAUGUGCGCGCUUACUCCGUGCCGGUUUGAAUGAGAAGACUUUGCACCAUAAAACCACAAUAAUAACCUCGGGAUUUAUUAAUUUUGAAUGCAUGGUGUUGGUUGCAUCAUCCGUAUUUUCAAAUUCCCACAUUCAAAAGACCCGCCUUUGGUGAAGGCAAAGGUGUUGUGCUAUUCUUUCCGAGGGACAGAUUCCUUAUCAGCCUUUUCAGUGUAUGUGAUUCUAACUAAGUCUUAUAGAUCCGCCGCUCUGUUCGACCUAAUCAGUGAACAUAGUAUUUCUGUGAUUUUGUUCUUUAAAAAUUCAGUGAAUGGAUUAGACACCGUUUUCACCCUUUAAAAACCCGGUGACUUGAAAUAAAAUAAAUUAAAACUUGUACCGAGAAUGGAAUUUAAAUGUGAUUAACAUAUUGAA
Saccostrea cuccullata (small rock oyster) is the source of this 439-nucleotide long non-coding RNA. RefSeq lists it as uncharacterized. The record is from RefSeq and is a predicted model, not a curated record. The transcript has 3 exons. Lineage: Eukaryota; Metazoa; Mollusca; Bivalvia; Ostreida; Ostreidae.